UUGAACGUUUACUAUCGCCAU
Caenorhabditis elegans is the source of this 21-nucleotide non-coding RNA. NCBI's taxonomy places the organism in Eukaryota, Metazoa, Nematoda, Chromadorea, Rhabditida, Rhabditidae. The record is from Ensembl.